RNAcentral lists this ribosomal RNA (301 nucleotides) under uncultured bacterium. RNAcentral describes it as "partial 16S ribosomal RNA". It matches the Rfam family "Bacterial small subunit ribosomal RNA", at positions 509 to 807 of the family's 1533-position model. The record is from RNAcentral.
CAGCAGCCGCGGUAAUACGAAGGGGGCUAGCGUUGUUCGGAAUCACCGGGCGUAAAGCGCGCGUAGGCGGUUACUCAAGUCAGAGGUGAAAGCCCGGGGCUCAACCCCGGAACUGCCUUUGAAACUAGGUGACUAGAAUCUUGGAGAGGUCAGUGGAAUUCCGAGUGUAGAGGUGAAAUUCGUAGAUAUUCGGAAGAACACCAGUGGCGAAGGCGACUGACUGGACAAGUAUUGACGCUGAGGUGCGAAAGCGUGGGGAGCAAACAGGAUUAGAUACCCGCGUAGUCCCUGUCUCUUAUAC